Molecule: ribosomal RNA, 497 nt
Filed under: uncultured bacterium
Lineage: Bacteria
Description: partial 16S ribosomal RNA
Rfam family: Bacterial small subunit ribosomal RNA
Source: RNAcentral
GACGAACGCUGGCGGCGUGCCUAAUACAUGCAAGUUGAGCGCUGAAGGUUGGUACUUGUACCAACUGGAUGAGCAGCGAACGGGUGAGUAACGCGUGGGGAAUCUGCCUUUGAGCGGGGGACAACAUUUGGAAACGAAUGCUAAUACCGCAUAAAAACUUUAAACACAAGUUUUAAGUUUGAAAGAUGCAAUUGCAUCACUCAAAGAUGAUCCCGCGUUGUAUUAGCUAGUUGGUGAGGUAAAGGCUCACCAAGGCGAUGAUACAUAGCCGACCUGAGAGGGUGAUCGGCCACAUUGGGACUGAGACACGGCCCAAACUCCUACGGGAGGCAGCAGUAGGGAAUCGUCGGCAAUGGACGAGAGUCUGACCGAGCAACGCCGCGGGAGUGAAGAAGGUUUUCGGAUCGUAAAACUCUGUUGGUAGAGAAGAACGUUGGUGAGAGUGGAAAGCUCAUCAAGUGACGGUAACUACCCAGAAAGGGACGGCUAACUACGUG